This 68-nucleotide transfer RNA is filed under the name Melogale moschata (Chinese ferret-badger). RNAcentral describes it as "tRNA-Arg". It matches the Rfam family "tRNA". Rfam says of the family: Transfer RNA (tRNA) molecules are approximately 80 nucleotides in length. The record is from RNAcentral. Lineage: Eukaryota; Metazoa; Chordata; Mammalia; Carnivora; Mustelidae. RNAcentral also lists the same sequence under 1 other name.
UGAUAAUUAGUUUAACUAAAACAAAUGAUUUCGACUCAUUAGACUGUAAUCCAUAUUACAAUUAUCAA